RNAcentral lists this ribosomal RNA (1075 nucleotides) under Pseudoalteromonas undina. Its description in RNAcentral is "partial 16S ribosomal RNA". It matches the Rfam family "Bacterial small subunit ribosomal RNA", at positions 23 to 1083 of the family's 1533-position model. Lineage: Bacteria; Pseudomonadati; Pseudomonadota; Gammaproteobacteria; Alteromonadales; Pseudoalteromonadaceae. The record is from RNAcentral.
CAGAGUNUAAACGGNGGNNACNCGCANNACANGNANANGNAGCGCNAANANAAAGUAACCUUGUANGANGAUGACGAGCGGCGGACGGGUGAGUAAUGCUUGGGAACAUGCCUUGAGGUGGGGGACAAACAGUUGGAAACGACUGCUAAUACCGCAUAAUGUCUACGGACCAAAGGGGGCUUCGGCUCUCGCCUUNAGAUUGGCCCAAGUGGGAUUAGCUAGUUGGUGAGGUAAUGGCUCACCAAGGCGACGAUCCCUGAGCUGGNAUGAGAGGAUGAUNCAGNCCANCACUGGAACUGAGACCNACGGCCCGCNNCCNNACGGGAGGCAGCAGUGGGGAANGCNAUGGGGCGCAAGCCUGNAUGCAGCCAUGCCGCGUGUGUGAAGAAGGCCUUCGGGUUGUAAAGCACUUUCAGUCAGGAGGAAAGGUUAGUAGUUAAUACCUGCUAGCUGUGACGUUACUGACAGAAGAAGCACCGGCUAACUCCGUGCCAGCAGCCGCGGUAAUACGGAGGGUGCGAGCGUUAAUCGGAAUUACUGGGCGUAAAGCGUACGCAGGCGGUUUGUUAAGCGAGAUGUGAAAGCCCCGGGCUCAACCUGGGAACUGCAUUUCGAACUGGCAAACUAGAGUGUGAUAGAGGGUGGUAGAAUUUCAGGUGUAGCGGUGAAUGCGUAGAGAUUCUGAAGGAAUACCGAUGGCGAAGGCAGCCACCUGGGUCAACACUGACGCUCAUGUACGAAAGCGUGGGGAGCAAACAGGAUUAGAUACCCUGGUAGUCCACGCCGUAAACGAUGUCUACUAGAAGCUCGGAACCUCGGUUCUGUUUUUCAAAGCUAACGCAUUAAGUAGACCGCCUGGGGAGUACGGCCGCAAGGUUAAAACUCAAAUGAAUUGACGGGGGCCCGCACAAGCGGUGGAGCAUGUGGUUUAAUUCGAUGCAACGCGAAGAACCUUACCUACACUUGACAUACAGAGAACUUACCCAGAGAUGGUUUGGUGCCUUCGGGAACUCUGAUNANCAGGUGCUGNCAUGGCUGUNCGUNCAGNCNACNUACUUUUNAGNUGUUAGUUANA